This 468-nucleotide ribosomal RNA is filed under the name uncultured bacterium. Its description in RNAcentral is "partial 16S ribosomal RNA". It matches the Rfam family "Bacterial small subunit ribosomal RNA", at positions 28 to 507 of the family's 1533-position model. The record is from RNAcentral.
GACGAACGCUGGCGGCGUGCUUAACACAUGCAAGUCGAACGGAAAGGCCCUGCUUUUGUGGGGUGCUCGAGUGGCGAACGGGUGAGUAACACGUGAGUAACCUGCCCUUGACUUUGGGAUAACUUCAGGAAACUGGGGCUAAUACCGGAUAGGAGCUCCUGCUGCAUGGUGGGGGUUGGAAAGUUUCGGCGGUUGGGGAUGGACUCGCGGCUUACCAGCUUGUUGGUGGGGUAGUGGCUUACCAAGGCUUUGACGGGUAGCCGGCCUGAGAGGGUGACCGGCCACAUUGGGACUGAGAUACGGCCCAGACUCCUACGGGAGGCAGCAGUGGGGAAUAUUGCACAAUGGGCGGAAGCCUGAUGCAGCAACGCCGCGUGCGGGAUGACGGCCUUCGGGUUGUAAACCGCUUUCGCCUGUGACGAAGCGUGAGUGACGGUAAUGGGUAAAGAAGCACCGGCUAACUACGUG